UGGGGGUGAGGUAGUAGGUUGUAUAGUUUGGGGGCUCUGCCCUGCUAUGGGAUAACUAUACUAUCUACUGUCUUUCCUGA
This is a microRNA precursor of Gorilla gorilla (western gorilla), 80 nucleotides long. It matches the Rfam family "let-7 microRNA precursor family". Rfam says of the family: This family represents the microRNAs (miRNA) let-7 and mir-98. let-7 was identified from a study of developmental timing in C. elegans, and was later shown to be part of a much larger class of non-coding RNAs termed miRNAs. The extents of the hairpin precursors are not generally known and are estimated based on hairpin prediction. Lineage: Eukaryota; Metazoa; Chordata; Mammalia; Primates; Hominidae. The record is from Rfam.